This 464-nucleotide ribosomal RNA is filed under the name Vreelandella stevensii. RNAcentral describes it as "partial 16S ribosomal RNA". It matches the Rfam family "Bacterial small subunit ribosomal RNA", at positions 338 to 794 of the family's 1533-position model. Lineage: Bacteria; Pseudomonadati; Pseudomonadota; Gammaproteobacteria; Oceanospirillales; Halomonadaceae. The record is from RNAcentral.
CCUACGGGGGGCUGCAGUGGGGAAUAUUGGACAAUGGGGGGAACCCUGAUCCAGCCAUGCCGCGUGUGUGAAGAAGGCCCUCGGGUUGUAAAGCACUUUCAGUGAGGAAGAACGCCUGGUGGUUAAUACCCAUCAGGAAAGACAUCACUCACAGAAGAAGCACCGGCUAACUCCGUGCCAGCAGCCGCGGUAAUACGGAGGGUGCGAGCGUUAAUCGGAAUUACUGGGCGUAAAGCGCGCGUAGGUGGCUUGAUAAGCCGGUUGUGAAAGCCCCGGGCUCAACCUGGGAACGGCAUCCGGAACUGUCAAGCUAGAGUGCAGGAGAGGAAGGUAGAAUUCCCGGUGUAGCGGUGAAAUGCGUAGAGAUCGGGAGGAAUACCAGUGGCGAAGGCGGCCUUCUGGACUGACACUGACACUGAGGUGCGAAAGCGUGGGUAGCAAACAGGAUUAGAUACCCCUGUAGU